AGGAAUCAGUAGGGCCUCCGGGUGGGUGGCCAUGGCCUUUACGUUGUACUCGCUGCUGCAGGCGGCCGUUCUCUGCGUCAAUGCCAUCGCCGUGCUUCACGAGGAGCGUUUCCUCAAGAACAUUGGCUGGGGAACAGACCAGGGAAUUGGAGGAUUCGGAGAAGAGCCAGGAAUUAAAUCUCAGCUAAUGAACCUUAUUCGAUCUGUAAGAACCGUGAUGAGAGAUGUCGCUGGUGACCCUGUGGGUCUACUCCUGCCUGGGUCCAGUUUGCUUGUGUUCCCGGAGCUGCUCCAGCACUAUCCCCAGAUUACUUUGUAUUGAUCUAGUUGUGCCAGUGUGACCCUUAUCCCAGUCACACAAGCCCUCUUUCAAUGCCAUUGAUAAUAGUAAACUCAAUUGCAAUUGUAUUACUUUUACUAUUUGGGUGAAGAUCAAUGGGGGAAAUGGAGACUCCGAAGACGACCUGCUGGCAGAAGUUAUUACUUCAGUCUUUAUUGAAGUAUACAUAUCUUAGCUGGCUCUCCUUGGACUUGACAAAAAUGUAAACCUUACAAUAAAACCAGAGUCCCUAUUUAUCUGAUUUUUUAAAAUGUUGCACUUACAGUUUUAUUGUAAAAAGAUCAGAUCAUCAGAGGCCAUAACUAUCGAGGAUUGGAAUACAUUUGAUUGCUGACUGCUGAUAAAAGUUCAUGCUACGGAAAAGAUUGUUAAAAGGGUGCAGGACUGUCACUUCUGUGUUUUUAGAGAUUCCUCUCUUUGACUUCUCAGGGAUGAAUUUUUUUUCAAAGUUCUUGUAACUUAGUUAUGAUGUGAGAACGAUUAUCCUCCUAGAUAAAAUUUAAAGGAUUUUUAAAAUAUAAAAUGUUAGGUAAUCUGGAUUGUUUUAUUUUGAACUCGUUGGUUAAGUAUUCUGUCUGUAUACUGUCUCAGCUAUGAAAAAUUCAAAUCCAUAGUAACUAUUGAGGAGCAAUACUCUGAUUUCUGGGAGAGUUCUAAUUUUCUUAAGUUGGAUAGUCACAUGUUGAUUGUGUUUUUAAGUUUCAUUUUAAGUUUGAUUCAUGCAUUUGUUAUUUUAUUAAUUGGCCUGAAUGAUGAGACCAGAUCAGUAUCUACAUAUUUCCAAAGGUUAAAGAAAAAUCUGUAUAGAAAAGUCUAUGCCCUUUUUAACAAUGAUGACUUAUUUUUUUAAAUCAGCAUAAAUGGUAGCCAGUAAGAGCAAUCCUAAACAGUCACCAUUAAACCACACUAUGUAAGAAGACUUUAUUGUUAAGCAUUUACCUCCCCAAAUUAUCACGUUUCUUGGAGUAGCACAUUAAGGGGUGUGAUUGGUGAUUCUUCAUUCUGUCAGUCACUAGAGCAUUCAUGGUGGAUAAAUUGUCUUUUGUUUUAUUUUUAUGUCUUAGACCAUCCCAUAUUUGUUUACCCCAUAAUACCGUUUUAUGCAGAAAGAUUAAGACAAUGUAAAUGGUUUUUCUGGAAAUUAGUAAAUAAUGCUUUAAAAGGGGUGGAAAGGCAUCUGUGUUUAAAAGAGAACAUUUGUAAAUAAAAUUCAAUUUCCAAGUCAAA
This is an RNA transcript of Budorcas taxicolor (takin), 1567 nucleotides long. It is a transcript of the gene named immediate early response 3 interacting protein 1, with no coding region annotated. NCBI's taxonomy places the organism in Eukaryota, Metazoa, Chordata, Mammalia, Artiodactyla, Bovidae. The transcript is spliced from 4 exons. The record is from RefSeq and is a predicted model, not a curated record.